This 497-nucleotide ribosomal RNA is filed under the name uncultured bacterium. RNAcentral's name for it is "partial 16S ribosomal RNA". It matches the Rfam family "Bacterial small subunit ribosomal RNA", at positions 28 to 507 of the family's 1533-position model. The record is from RNAcentral.
GAUGAACGCUGGCGGCGUGCCUAAUACAUGCAAGUCGAGCGAACAGACGAGGAGCUUGCUCCUCUGACGUUAGCGGCGGACGGGUGAGUAACACGUGGAUAACCUACCUAUAAGACUGGGAUAACUUCGGGAAACCGGAGCUAAUACCGGAUAAUAUAUUGCACCGCGUGGUUCAAUAGUGAAAGACGGUUUUGCUGUCACUUAUAGAUGGAUCCGCGCCGCAUUAGCUAGUUGGUAAGGUAACGGCUUACCAAGGCAACGAUGCGUAGCCGACCUGAGAGGGUGAUCGGCCACACUGGAACUGAGACACGGUCCAGACUCCUACGGGAGGCAGCAGUAGGGAAUCUUCCGCAAUGGGCGAAAGCCUGACGGAGCAACGCCGCGUGAGUGAUGAAGGUCUUCGGAUCGUAAAACUCUGUUAUUAGGGAAGAACAAAUGUGUAAGUAACUAUGCACGUCUUGACGGUACCUAAUCAGAAAGCCACGGCUAACUACGUG